RNAcentral lists this ribosomal RNA (397 nucleotides) under uncultured bacterium. Its description in RNAcentral is "bacterial SSU rRNA". It matches the Rfam family "Bacterial small subunit ribosomal RNA", at positions 28 to 428 of the family's 1533-position model. The record is from RNAcentral.
GACGAACGCUGGCGGCGUGCUUAACACAUGCAAGUCGAGCGGUAAGGCCCUUUCGGGGGUACGACGAGCGGCGAACGGGUGAGUAACACGUGGGUGACCUGCCCUCAGCUCUGGGAUAAGCCUGGGAAACCGGGUCUAAUAACCGGAUAUGACUCCAUGACGCAUGUUGUGGGGUGGAAAGCCUUGUGCGGCUGAGGAUGGGCCCGCGCCUAUCAGCUUGUUGGUGGGGUGAUGGCCUACCAAGGCGACGACGGGUAGCCGGCCUGAGAGGGCGACCGGCCACACUGGGACUGAGACACGGCCCAGACUCCUACGGGAGGCAGCAGUGGGGAAUCUUGCGCAAUGGGCGAAAGCCUGACGCAGCGACGCCGCGUGAGGGAUGACGGCCUGGUUGUAA